This 96-nucleotide ribosomal RNA is filed under the name uncultured bacterium. Its description in RNAcentral is "partial 16S ribosomal RNA". It matches the Rfam family "Bacterial small subunit ribosomal RNA", at positions 1388 to 1482 of the family's 1533-position model. The record is from RNAcentral.
CACCGCCCGUCACACCAUGGGAGUCAGUUGCUCCAGAAAUCGGUACGCCAACCGCAAGGAGGCAGCCGCUCAACGGAGUGACUGGUAACUGGGGUG